GUGGGUCAAGGUAUGAUGAUUAAUUGGAGUUCUAGUUCAUUUACUUUGAGAAAAUUAGAGUGUUUAAAGCAGCCUCUUGGGGCACUGAAUACAUUAGCAUGGGAUAAUAAAAUAGGAUCUUCACAAUAUAUUUUAUUGGUUUAAAUUGCGUAUGAAGAUAAUGAUUAAUAGGGACAGUUGGGGGUAUUCAUAUUGGGUGGUUAGCGGUGAAAUGCUCGGAUCCAUUCAAGAUGAACUAAAGCGAAAGCAUUUACCAAGGAUGUUUUCAUUAAUCAAGAACGAAAGUUAAGGGAUCGAAGACGAUUAGAUACCGUCGUAGUCUUAACUAUAAACUAUGCCGACCAGGGAUAUGAGUUGUUAGGAUUAUAUGAAAGUAUAAUCAAUUUCUUCUUAUGGACCUUGUGAG
RNAcentral lists this ribosomal RNA (406 nucleotides) under uncultured eukaryote. RNAcentral's name for it is "bacterial SSU rRNA". It matches the Rfam family "Eukaryotic small subunit ribosomal RNA", at positions 712 to 1094 of the family's 1831-position model. The record is from RNAcentral.